RNAcentral lists this ribosomal RNA (1066 nucleotides) under Aliatypus roxxiae. RNAcentral's name for it is "eukaryotic LSU rRNA". It matches the Rfam family "Eukaryotic large subunit ribosomal RNA", at positions 69 to 884 of the family's 3401-position model. Lineage: Eukaryota; Metazoa; Arthropoda; Arachnida; Araneae; Antrodiaetidae. The record is from RNAcentral.
CUGGGAUUCCCUCAGUAACGGCGAGCGAACAGGGAAGAGUCCAGCGCCGAAUUCCGACUUGGUAAGGUCGCGAAGAUGUGGCGUUCGGGAGAAUGCGGUCACGAGGCUCGGCUCAAGGUGCAAGUCCCCCUGACCGGGGCUGUCUACCCAGAGCGGGUGCGAGGCCCGUGGCACCGGCGUCGGGCCUCCGGACGCGACCUCCCGAGAGUCGGGUUGCUUGAGAGUGCAGCCCCAAUAGGGUGGUAAACUCCACCUAAGACUAAAUACGGCCGUGAGACCGAUAGCAAACAAGUACCGUGAGGGAAAGUUGCAAAGAACUUUGAAGAGAGAGUUCAAGAGUACGUGAAACUGCUCAGAGGCAAACGGGUGGGCCCUCGAAGUCCCGUUGCGGGCGGAUUCAGUGGGGAAGCCUUCCGGCCUCCGUCGCCUUUUACUUUCUCACCUCGGUGAGAGUGAGUCGGCUUCGGGCGGUCCGGUCGACCGCCCCACGCAUUUCCGCCCCAAUCAUGGGCGCCGCAGCCGGUCGGAAAUAGUGUCGGCGAAGAGGUCGGGCGAAUGGCAGGUCGCCGGCGAUCGCUCUUAAUGGGCGUUUUCGUCGGUGGGUAGCCGGUUCCGACCCGAGCCCGGCAUCCGACCGAGGCUGUGCUUUCUCCUACUUCUAUUCAUUAGGAGUGCGGCCGGCCGGCGGACUGGUGCGCUGCCGCGACGAUCGCCGUCAGUCUAUAGCACUGGGCGUCUCGCGGGAAUCCCCCAGAGUCCGCACGGUCCCGCGAGGAGGAAUACGGCUGGCGGCGAGUAGGUCGGUCACCCACCCGACCCGUCUUGAAACACGGACCAAGGAGUCUAACAUGUGUGCGAGUCACGGGGUCUUGUUCAGGCCCGCAGGCAGAAUGAAAGUGACUCUCUAAUAAUGGGGAUUCCUACGAGAGUAGGAAGCACCGAAGGCCCGCCCCGGUCUUAUUUAGACCCGGCGGAGUCCGAGCCCACACGUUGGGACCCGAAAGAUGGUGAACUAUGCCUGGGCAGGACGAAGCCAGAGGAAACUCUGGUGGAGGUCCGCAGCGGU